This 24-nucleotide microRNA is filed under the name Gallid alphaherpesvirus 1. Its description in RNAcentral is "iltv-miR-I5-5p". Its record names the gene iltv-miR-I5-5p. Lineage: Duplodnaviria; Heunggongvirae; Peploviricota; Herviviricetes; Herpesvirales; Orthoherpesviridae. The record is from miRBase by way of RNAcentral.
CUUCUCGUCCCCGUCUUCUUCAGA